CGCCAGACUCCUACGGGAGGCAGCAGUGGGGAAUAUUGCACAAUGGGGGAAACCCUGAUGCAGCGACGCCGCGUGAGUGAAGAAGUAUUUCGGUAUGUAAAGCUCUAUCAGCAGGGAAGAAAAUGACGGUACCUGACCAAGAAGCCCCGGCUAACUACGUGCCAGCAGCCGCGGUAAUACGUAGGGGGCAAGCGUUAUCCGGAUUUACUGGGUGUAAAGGGAGCGUAGACGGUUGUGCAAGUCAGAAGUGAAAGCCCGGGGCUCAACUCCGGGACUGCUUUUGAAACUGUGAAACUGGAGUGCAGGAGAGGUAAGCGGAAUUCCUGGUGUAGCGGUGAAAUGCGUAGAUAUCAGGAGGAACACCAGUGGCGAAGGCGGCUUACUGGACUGUAACUGACGUUGAAGCUCGAAAGCGUGGGGAGCAAACAGGAUUAAAUACCCCCGUAAGC
This 449-nucleotide ribosomal RNA is filed under the name uncultured bacterium. Its description in RNAcentral is "bacterial SSU rRNA". It matches the Rfam family "Bacterial small subunit ribosomal RNA", at positions 329 to 794 of the family's 1533-position model. The record is from RNAcentral.